GUGCCAGCAGCCGCGGUAAUACGGAGUGUGCAAGCGUUACUCGGAAUCACUGGGCAUAAAGGGCGCGUAGGCGGGUUUCCAAGUCGGUUGUGAAAUCCCUCAGCUCAACUGAGGAACUGCAUCCGAUACUGUUUGUCUUGAGGACGGGAGGGGAGAGUGGAACUUCUGGUGAAGCGGUGAAAUGCGUAGAUAUCAGAAGGAACGCCGGUGGCGAAAGCGACUCUCUGGCCCGUAUCUGACGCUGAAGCGCGAAAGCUUGGGUAGCAAACGGGAUUAGAUACCCCGGUAGUCC
RNAcentral lists this ribosomal RNA (292 nucleotides) under uncultured bacterium. RNAcentral describes it as "partial 16S ribosomal RNA". It matches the Rfam family "Bacterial small subunit ribosomal RNA", at positions 505 to 796 of the family's 1533-position model. The record is from RNAcentral.